Molecule: ribosomal RNA, 274 nt
Filed under: uncultured bacterium
Lineage: Bacteria
Description: partial 16S ribosomal RNA
Rfam family: Bacterial small subunit ribosomal RNA
Source: RNAcentral
AUACGGAGGGUGCAAGCGUUAUUCGGAAUCACUGGGCGUAAAGGACGCGUAGGCGGGUUGGCAAGUCAGAUGUGAGAUCCUACAGCUUAACUGUAGAACUGCAUUUGAAACUGCUAACCUAGAGUAUGGGAGGGGGAGAUGGAAUUAGUGGUGUAGGGGUAAAAUCCGUAGAUAUCACUAGGAAUACCGAAAGCGAAGGCGAUCUCCUGGAACAUAACUGACGCUAAGGCGUGAAAGCGUGGGGAGCAAACAGGAUUAGAAACCCUAGUAGUCC